AGGCGCAGGCGCGGAGGGGCGCGCCCGAACCCGAACCCUAAUGCCGUCAUAAGAGCCCUAGGGAGACCUUAGGGAACAAGCAUUAAACUGACACUCGAUUCUGUAGCCGGCUCUGCCAAGAGACAUGGCGUUGCGGUGAUAUGAGGGCAGGGGUCAUGGAAGAAAGCCUUCUGGUUUUAGACCCACAGGAAGAUCUGUGACGCGCUCUUGGGUAGAGCACACGUUGCUGGGCGUGCGCUUGAAAAGAGCCUAAGAAGAGGGGGCGUCUGGAAGGAACCGCAACGCCAAGGGAGGGUGUCCAGCCUUCCCGCUUCAACACCUGGACACUUUCAGGCAAGCCCAAGAAAGUCAGGGGCCUAUGUGAGCCAAAGAGGAGAGAAGGUGAUGCCUCAGCCCAGUGUUUCUGCCCCACCUCGCUUGUGGCCUUCGGAACUUGAUUUGCACCGCAGGAAAAUGGGCAAUGAAAACCCCUCCCUAACUGGCUUCUCAGUCCACUCUGACCAGCCCACUGCACAGCGCCCACCCUGCAGCUCCAGAUGAGGCCUCACUCUGUCACCCAGGUUGGGGUGGAGUGGCACAGUCACAGCUCACUAUAACCUCAAGCUCCUGGGCUCAAGUGAUCCUGCCACCUCAGCCUCCUAAGUAGCUGGAACUACAGAUGUGCACUGCCAUGCCAGGCUUGUCUAACAUUUUUAUGUGUUGCUUCAUCCAGUUUGCUAGAGUUUUUGGAGAUUUCUGUCUUCAUUCAUGAGGGAUAAUAGUCUGCACUUUUAUUUUCUUGUGAUAC
This 787-nucleotide long non-coding RNA is filed under the name Homo sapiens (human). RNAcentral describes it as "non-protein coding LINC02564:12". Lineage: Eukaryota; Metazoa; Chordata; Mammalia; Primates; Hominidae. The record is from RNAcentral.